RNAcentral lists this ribosomal RNA (253 nucleotides) under uncultured bacterium. Its description in RNAcentral is "partial 16S ribosomal RNA". It matches the Rfam family "Bacterial small subunit ribosomal RNA", at positions 524 to 776 of the family's 1533-position model. The record is from RNAcentral.
UACAGAGGCCUCGAGCGUUAGGCGGAAUCACUGGGCUUAAAGCGUGUGUAGGCGGAUCGUUAAGUACCUUGUGAAAUCCCACGGCUCAACCGUGGAACUGCUUGGUAUACUGGCGAUCUUGUGCCACCUAGGGGCGAGCGGAACAGAUGGUGGAGCGGUGAAAUGCGUAGAUAUCAUCUGGAACGCCCAUGGUGAAAACAGGUAGCUGGGAGUGUGCUGACGCUGAGACACGAAAGCCAGGGGAGCGAACGGG